This 295-nucleotide small nuclear RNA is filed under the name Saimiri boliviensis boliviensis (Bolivian squirrel monkey). RNAcentral describes it as "7SK RNA (ENSSBOG00000010347.1)". It matches the Rfam family "7SK RNA". Rfam says of the family: 7SK was discovered as an abundant small nuclear RNA in the mid-70s but a possible function has only recently been suggested. Two independent studies have found that 7SK RNA binds the CDK9/cyclin T complex (known as elongation factor P-TEFb). Lineage: Eukaryota; Metazoa; Chordata; Mammalia; Primates; Cebidae. The record is from Rfam by way of RNAcentral.
ACGUGUGAAGGUGAUCUGGCUGUGACAUCUGUCACCUCAUUGAUCGCCAGGGUUGAUUUAGCUGAUCUGGCUAGGCGGGUAUCCCCUUCCUCCCUCACUGCUGCAUGUGUGUCCCUCCCGAAGCUGUGUGCUCAAAGUGGACAACCAUCUCUGAUAGAGGAGGACCAGUCUUCGGCCAAGGGUAUAGAGUAGCUGUGCUCCCCUGCUAGAACCUCCAGACAAGCUCUCAAGAUUCAACAUAUUCAUGCAUGCAGUGGAGUUUUUUUGAAGGCUUUCUCUGGGUCAGACCCUGAAG